CGGAACCUUACUCUGCUAAAUAGGCAGGUCAACUUUUUAGUUGAUAAUUUAUUUNUAAAUCUGGCUUCUUAGAGAGACUAUCGGCUUCAAGCCGAUGGAAGUUUGAGGCAAUAACAGGUCUGUGAUGCCCUUAGAUGUUCUGGGCCGCACGCGCGCUACACUGACAGAGCCAACGAGUUCAUCACCUUGACCGAAAGGUCUGGGUAAUCUUGUUAAACUCUGUCGUGCUGGGGAUAGGGCAUUGCAAUC
This 249-nucleotide ribosomal RNA is filed under the name uncultured fungus. RNAcentral's name for it is "partial small subunit ribosomal RNA". It matches the Rfam family "Eukaryotic small subunit ribosomal RNA", at positions 1336 to 1591 of the family's 1831-position model. The record is from RNAcentral. Lineage: Eukaryota; Fungi.